CCUACGGGAUGCUGCAGUCGAGAAUCAUUCACAAUGGGGGAAACCCUGAUGGUGCGACGCCGCGUGGGGGAAUGAGGGUCUUCGGAUUGUAAACCCCUGUCAUGUGGGAGCAAAUUAAAAAGAUAGUACCACAAGAGGAAGAGACGGCUAACUCUGUGCCAGCAGCCGCGGUACUACAGAGGUCUCAAGCGUUGUUCGGAAUCACUGGGCGUAAAGCGUGCGUAGGCUGUUUCGUAAGUCGUGUGUGAAAGGCGCGGGCUCAACCCGCGGACGGCACAUGAUACUGCGAGACUAGAGUAAUGGAGGGGGAACCGGAAUUCUCGGUGUAGCAGUGAAAUGCGUAGAUAUCGAGAGGAACACUCGUGGCGAAGGCGGGUUCCUGGACAUUAACUGACGCUGAGGCACGAAGGCCAGGGGAGCGAAAGGGAUUAGAUACCCGAGUAGUC
This 446-nucleotide ribosomal RNA is filed under the name uncultured bacterium. RNAcentral's name for it is "partial 16S ribosomal RNA". It matches the Rfam family "Bacterial small subunit ribosomal RNA", at positions 338 to 795 of the family's 1533-position model. The record is from RNAcentral.